Molecule: long non-coding RNA, 2567 nt
Organism: Chinchilla lanigera (long-tailed chinchilla)
Lineage: Eukaryota; Metazoa; Chordata; Mammalia; Rodentia; Chinchillidae
Exons: 7
Source: RefSeq, a predicted model, not a curated record
UCUGUAGGUAGGGCUCACUGCCCUUCUGGGCAGUGAGCCGGUGGGAUCCCGGGCCCCCUGGCCCCUCCUAGGAUGGCUGGCGGCUAUGCCCCCUUGGAGACCCGGCACCCUGCACUCAGUGUCCCACCCAGCCUGGCUGCGCACACAUUCAGGGAUUCUGACGGCCUGCGACAGCUGCCAGGGGCCCGGGCAGUCAGCACUGCAGCUUCAUGUGCAGGCAAGAUGUGGGGUACCCGGGGGACGUAAGGGCUCCUGUUGGGGUGCAACGUGCACCCCGGAUGUGGAGGUGAGCAGUGACCCGCCCAAUUGCUGCCUGUUCUGGAGGUGCUUCAGGUUAGCCAGGCCCCCCCUGGGCUAGCAUGGGGAGGAAACACGGCAAUUGUAUGCUUUGCCCGGAAAUCCAGCAGCUUCUCGGCCGGCUCUUUGCCAGCAAACUGGCUAGGCUGUUGACGCAUGUAAGCCGCUGUGUCCCUGUUCUUUAGAGCCCUGUGUUACAUUCCCCCGGAUUCCUCAUUUCAGGCAUCUAAUUCCCGAGAACAUGGACAUAGGCAUUAGCUUUCCCGGCCUCUUGGAGACCUAAAGGGAAGGCGCUCCCUGGAGGGGACGUGGUAGCCGUGCCUGGCUGGGUGGCCAGGGAGGGGCUUGGGGCUGUGGGUGGUGGGGAAAUCACAGUCCCAGGCAGCACCUGCUGGCCUCCUGUCACACAGGGAGGCCGCCCAGAGGCCAGGGGCUCCAGCAUCGGAGCAGACGGAAUUAAAAAUGGAAUGAUAAAAACAUGAACCCCUUGUGUCUCUCGAACUUGCUUUGGGCAUACACAACCUGCUUCUAAUUCAUCUGCCGAAUUGCUCUUUGCAUCUGUAAAAAAUGGCAACGAAAACAAACAGUCCCACAAACAAAACCAUACCCCCACAACCCCACAAAAUGUUUAUUUCAAUUAUACAAGAAACGCAUUGGUAAUUAAUGUACUCAUUAGUAAAAACCAGACAUGCAAAGGAAGCCGAAGCCAUCCUUAACCCUUCCUCAACCGUAGCCUCCUCCCAGUUAACUGCUGUGACCAGUUCAAGGUUGCAGAUAUUUUCCUGUGCACACACAGAUGUACAUAAAUACGCCUCUAAAACAUACUACUGUUGCUUCUUUUCUACCUAAGCUAGAGCCCAGUGUGCAUUUCCUUUAGCGGUUUGCAUCAGCUUGUUUUUCUUCCCUCAAGGAGCCGGUGGGAGAUAAUAAAGAUCAACACCGUUCCUUAUAACAGCGCCUCAGGACCGAAUUUAUUUAACCACCUCGCUGCUGCCUUGUCUGGAAGCCGCAGGCCCUUUCCCUGGCAGGGGCGGAUUGCGCACAGGUGGCCACCUGGACCUGACUUGGUCUCCCUGAGACACACCCUGCAGUCUCUCCCGGACCCUCGGUCACUGUCAGAGGUCCUGUGUGGUGCCCGGCUGGGGCACCUACCUUCCCCGGGCUCGGACCCGAGAGGAGAGAGAAGCUGGGAGUGAGGAGGUGCUGGUCGGACGGUCGAACCGAGGGCGACGCUGGGCACGAGGAGGUGCUGGUCGGACGGUCGGACCAAGAGUGGUGCUGGGGACGAGGAGGUGCCGACACACCCCGGACGGCACCCCCGUUCUCCAGCCCCGCCGCAGGACUGUUUGCAAGCAAUUUUCAGACACUGUCUUGGACCGUCUGAACAUUUCUUGAGCUCUAUUCAGCAUUCACAUAUUCCAGAUGGAAUCACAGCUCCCUUCCAGCUGGCACGUUCAAGUCUGCGUCCACACUACCUGCCGCACUUCCAAAGGGCUUACGGGGCUCUGUGUGUUGAGAGGCCCUUGGGAGGUCAGUGACUUGCCCACGACCCGCUAGAAUUGAGGAUCCAGGUGCCAGCUGAGGUUUGUCUGAUUCCUGUGCCCGGCCGGGCGGAGGUAAGAUGGGUAGGUAAGCCGGCUGGAGAGGCCCUGCAUCAAGAGGCAUGAGGACGCGCAGAGGUGGCGGCGGGCUGCCGGAUGCGGUAAGAUGGGCAAUGCAGAGGUGCCGGUGGCAGGCGGCGGGUGGCUGAGUGAGAACUGGUAGCACUGCUCCGAGGUCAGAGGCUGGCUUGCUGUCCCGGGGAGCUUCCCUGGGAGCAGAGGGUUUUCGGACAGGCUUAGUGGCUCUGCGACAAGAGGUGGGCCUCCAGGUCUCAGGACCAAGUCCCAGUCGUGGUACCGCAGCUGGGUGGCAACUCUCAGUCCCUGCUGCUUUCCACUAUACUGGGGUACAGUGGGUAGCCGGCUCCGCGCUGGCUCCUUUGCACCUGUGUCCUGAGACCAGCCGCACGGCCGGCCCUUCUGCAAUCGUACAGUAACCUCUGUUGUCGCAGUUAUGGUCUUCCAUUAAGAGAGAAGGGAACUUGGGUGUAGGCAAGGGCAAGGGCUUGCCAAAGUCAUAUAGGAAGCAAAUGCAGACCCUCGAUUUGAAUCUUCGUCUUCUUCCUUUCAAACGCCACUCUUUGCUCUAAAUCCUCCUCUGUCUCUGUCUCUCUGUCUCUGUCUCUUUGUCUCUCUCUCCCUGUCUCUGUCUUUCUCUGUUUGUGUCUC